UACCGCCAUAGAAGGGAGAAAGCACCUCAUCCCGUUCGAUCUGAGCAGUUUCAAACCUCGCCAUCGCUCGUUUAGUACCAUCGUGCGGGACCAGAUGGGAAUCUCGAGGGCUGUAGUU
This is a non-coding RNA of Kwoniella sp. CBS 6097, 118 nucleotides long. The record is from the annotation of a GenBank genome assembly. Lineage: Eukaryota; Fungi; Basidiomycota; Tremellomycetes; Tremellales; Cryptococcaceae.